Molecule: microRNA precursor, 75 nt
Filed under: Myotis davidii
Lineage: Eukaryota; Metazoa; Chordata; Mammalia; Chiroptera; Vespertilionidae
Description: mir-9229 microRNA precursor family
Rfam family: mir-9229 microRNA precursor family
Source: Rfam by way of RNAcentral
GAGAUACCCUAUGGUGCAAGACUUACUUCAGUGGGGCUUUGGUGCUCACUGAGUCUGCCCCCUGAGUGUGUCCCU